Molecule: ribosomal RNA, 207 nt
Filed under: Clostridioides difficile
Lineage: Bacteria; Bacillati; Bacillota; Clostridia; Peptostreptococcales; Peptostreptococcaceae
Description: partial 16S ribosomal RNA
Rfam family: Bacterial small subunit ribosomal RNA
Source: RNAcentral
AGGAGGAAGCCCCGGCUAACUACGUGCCAGCAGCCGCGGUAAUACGUAGGGGGCUAGCGUUAUCCGGAUUUACUGGGCGGAAAGGGUGCGUAGGCGGUCUUUCAAGUCAGGAGUGAAAGGCUACGGCCCAACCGUAGUAAGCUCUUGAAACUGGGAGACUUGAGUGCAGGAGAGGAGAGUGGAAUUCCUAGUGUAGCGGUGAAAUGC